This 268-nucleotide long non-coding RNA is filed under the name Salvia miltiorrhiza (redroot sage). Its description in RNAcentral is "long non-coding RNA (SMIL_LNC010612)". The record is from RNAcentral. Lineage: Eukaryota; Viridiplantae; Streptophyta; Magnoliopsida; Lamiales; Lamiaceae.
ACAAGUUUUUAUUCAUAAUUGAUGCAGAUACAACCUAGCUCUAUUCAACUCAAGGUUGGACGGGAGGCUUGUCCAAGUCCUCUUGAGGGCGGAAGAAGGCCUUCUCUUCCAACACCGAGCCCCCGUUGGCGGCACCAGGGUUGCGGCCCGAACCCGGAUUCUCAUCCGUUGCAGGCCCGAACACCCCUGUCUUAGGAUGAGGAGCCCAGUACUCGUCCGGCUGAGGCGGGAUUACAUGGUCUGGGACCACAGUCGAGUUCACAUUCUC